Long non-coding RNA from Mauremys mutica (yellowpond turtle), 2680 nucleotides. RefSeq lists it as uncharacterized. The record is from RefSeq and is a predicted model, not a curated record. Lineage: Eukaryota; Metazoa; Chordata; Testudines; Geoemydidae. The transcript has 4 exons.
CCGAGAGGGAGUUUCUUUGGGGAAGGAAGGGCCAUUUUCGCCACUGAACAAAGAAUGAAAACGCACCAACAAAGGGAUCCCCCUCCCCAGUGAGGGAGACGCAGGAUCAGAGAAACGAGAGAGACAUCGGGGGGAAAACACACGGGCUAGAGAGAGCCAGGCAGAGGAAGAAAGGAUCUCUCUCCACUGAACUGCGGAAGGGUUUGCCCACCUCGCCUGCCGCUCUUCUCCUCCUUUGCCACCCUGCUCCCUUCCCUCCGUUCUCCUCUCUCUGAGGUUUGCAAACAAAACGUCACCAAUCGAUAAGCCUCUCGCUGUGUGUGUGUGUGCGUGUGCGUGUGUGUGUGAUCCUGACCGGCCGGACUCCCAAAUCUGCCGCUCCCGACUUGUUCACUACCUCUGUAGGAAGCCACAGGAAGUUCCCAGCCAGGCGAGCGGCCCUUUGGCGGAGGAUGGCGGAGCUGGGACAGGUGCAGCCUUGAGAACGGCGAGAGAGCAGAGAACAGAAAGAGAGAUGCAGCGACAAGCAACAUUAAAACAACAGACAACAGGGAAAUGAACCCCCCACCUAUUGCAAGAGAAGUAAGUUCGCCUGAUGCCGUAACAGCUCAAAGUGUCAGUAACAGUUUUGGAAGCCGCCUGAGCACUUUUCCUUUAAUCUGGCGUUUUUGCAACAGAACUGUCCCUCUUAAUUCUCAAUUAAUUAUUAUUAUAACGCUUAAUAAAAUCAGUAAUAUAAUAACACAAUAAUAUAAUAACCGGAUUCUCCUCCAUGCAACAUUUAAAACACCUCGACUGUUUUGACGUGAAAAAUUCAAUUGGCGCUGCAAAAUAUAUUGGCUGUCGUUUAUAUGGGCACAUCGGGCUGGCGACAAAUCCAAAGAAUCGAUGCUUUGAGUUUGCUGCUCUGGAUUAGACAAAUCACUGCCCAAGCCGUGCUAAUGAGAAGAAGUUCAUCAGCUCCGCAUCAGUGCAGGGCCCCCGCUGAACCCCCGAGGAAUUGUUGUGUAAAGACCAUGUUCCUUGCAAAGAGCGAAACUAAAUGACCAAGAGGCGCAAAUUGGACUGGGGUGACCCAGGGCACUAAGGCGCAUUUCUGAUCAGAUAAUGCACAGGUCACCUGUGGGCUAACUCCACUUCACCAUUACUGCUUCUCUUUCUUUCUUUCGGCUAUCCAUUUUAUAAUGUCUAAAUCCCACUUUUCUGUGGAUCUAACUAUUCAACCAGAGCGGAUACAACUGGCCUCGCGGUUUAAAGUAACUUUCCAGCAAGUUCAGAUGGUAUUUCCCUCUCUGGCCACCUGCAAAAUAACUCAAGGCUGAGCAUAGCCAGGCCUGAUGCCACUUCCGGAUCCCCAGCUGCUCGCCCCUCCUGCCUGCCAGACCUUGGAGCCGUGUGGUUCUGGGGUUCAAGCCCCGUGUUUCCCGACUCCACGUGUGUAGUAGACACUGGUUUUGUAAUCGUUGCAGUCCCAUUUCCAGGGAGGAGGGUAACAUAUGGGUCGCGCGGGGACCCACUACAGAGAUCCCACUGCUGACAUCCCCGGAGAAAAGGGACCCUCGAUAGGGGAAAAGCCCACUGCAAAGGGGCCGGAGACACCCUCCCCAACCCCUGCCACCAGAAGCGAACUGGCCGCCUGGAGGUUUUCUUUGGACCACGGGGUAACCUUUGGGAGGGGCGGGGGUAAAUUGGGCGUGUUAGGCAAACCCUACAAGUGCAAUUGGCUCCGGGGAAUGGCUUUAAAGAGAUCCCGAGGCAAGGGAAGGGGGAGCGGGUGUGACCGAAGGCACUGCGCGGGGAAGGAGAGCCCAGGAGGGACUGGGUUCAACUGGGGCAUCCUUAGUGUCCCCUCUGCCCCCCACGCCUUAGAUGUCAUGCUGUAGGGCUGGAGCCCUGGCUCAAGUGGGAUCUAUAGAUCAGGCCAUUUUCCACCCCCCUCUUCCCUAUCCACUGCUAGAAACACCGACCGCACCCACAGCGUCCCCCCAGGACCUCAAUGGCCACCCAGCCCCAGCACCCAUCCCACCAGCUGCCUCCUCUCCCUGCUGGCCCCAGCACUCCAGCCUGGGCCAAGCGUAUCCCUCAGCCCUGCAGAAAAGUAGUUCCAAUACAAUGUUUGUUAACUAGGUUAUCUAGGCUGUAGAAGAUUUUAAUGUUGAAUUUUAUGGCUUUACCACGCUCUACCGUCCUUGUGAAUAUUGUAAUAUUGCAUUUUUUACAAGUUACUCUUCUGUUAAUGUUCCAGCUAGUAACUUUUAUAAUCCUCCUCAAUGAAAUUUUUUUGUAUUCUUCCGCACCGUUAACCUCAAUGGUGGCACCUCAGCCCCUGGCAGGAGGCAGAGAUGAAAUGAAUUCCUCUUUAAUCAGAAAUAAUAAUAAUAAAAACACACACAAGGCUCCCUCUGCCUUUUAUUUCAGCUUCCCUUCGAAGGGAGAAGGGGGGGGGGGUAUUCAGAAGUCUCCAUUCUCCCACUCUCUUGUGCUGCCUCUACUAGAUCGGGUUUAUUCCCCCCCCCCCCCCCGGCUGUUAAAUAAGGAGUCCCAUUUCUUUCCCUAGCCGAGCGCUAUCCAGCUUCACCUGACCCUGAUUUGCUGGGGAGAGGAACCCAGCAGCUAAUCCUCCUGCACUGCUGUGUGUCAUGAGUUGGCAGGUCUCACUAGAGCCUCUCCCAGGAUUUUU